UCGAAAGGGAUGCUAAUACCGCAUACGUCCUACGGGAGAAAGCAGGGGAUCUUUAUGACCUUGCGCUAAUAGAUGAGCCUAAGUCGGAUUAGCUAGUUGGUGGGGUAAAGGCCUACCAAGGCGACGAUCUGUAGCGGGUCUGAAAGGAUGAUCCGCCACACUGGGACUGAGACACGGCCCAGACUCCUACGGGAGGCAGCAGUGGGGAAUAUUGGACAAUGGGGGGAACCCUGAUCCAGCCAUGCCGCGUGUGUGAAGAAGGCCUUAUGGUUGUAAAGCACUUUAAGCGAGGAGGAGGCUCUUUUGGUUAAUACCCAAGAUGAGUGGACGUUACUCGCAGAAUAAGCACCGGCUAACUCUGUGCCAGCAGCCGCGGUA
This 378-nucleotide ribosomal RNA is filed under the name Acinetobacter sp. ABO13. Its description in RNAcentral is "bacterial SSU rRNA". It matches the Rfam family "Bacterial small subunit ribosomal RNA", at positions 151 to 522 of the family's 1533-position model. The record is from RNAcentral. Lineage: Bacteria; Pseudomonadati; Pseudomonadota; Gammaproteobacteria; Moraxellales; Moraxellaceae.